RNAcentral lists this ribosomal RNA (366 nucleotides) under uncultured Bordetella sp. Its description in RNAcentral is "bacterial SSU rRNA". It matches the Rfam family "Bacterial small subunit ribosomal RNA", at positions 524 to 888 of the family's 1533-position model. The record is from RNAcentral. Lineage: Bacteria; Pseudomonadati; Pseudomonadota; Betaproteobacteria; Burkholderiales; Alcaligenaceae.
UACGUAGGGUGCAAGCGUUAAUCGGAAUUACUGGGCGUAAAGCGUGCGCAGGCGGUUCGGAAAGAAAGAUGUGAAAUCCCAGAGCUUAACUUUGGAACUGCAUUGGUGACUGCAAGGCUAGAGUGUGUCAGAGGGAGGUGGAAUUCCGCAUGUAGCAGUGAAAUGCGUAGAUAUGCGGAGGAACACCGAUGGCGAAGGCAGCCUCCUGGGAUAACACUGACGCUCAUGCACGAAAGCGUGGGGAGCGAACAGGAUUAGAUACCCUGGUAGUCCACGCUGUAAACGAUGAGUGCUAAGUGUUGGAGGGUUUCCGCCCUUCAGUGCUGCAGUUAACGCAUUAAGCACUCCGCCUGGGGAGUACGACCG